CGGAGUGUAGCGCAGCCCGGUAGCGUACUUGCAUGGGGUGCAAGGGGUCGUGGGUUCGAAUCCCGCCACUCCGACAA
This 77-nucleotide transfer RNA is filed under the name Echinicola strongylocentroti. RNAcentral's name for it is "tRNA-Pro". It matches the Rfam family "tRNA". Rfam says of the family: Transfer RNA (tRNA) molecules are approximately 80 nucleotides in length. Lineage: Bacteria; Pseudomonadati; Bacteroidota; Cytophagia; Cytophagales; Cyclobacteriaceae. The record is from RNAcentral.